This 316-nucleotide long non-coding RNA is filed under the name Capsella rubella. RNAcentral describes it as "long non-coding RNA (CRUB_LNC004757)". Lineage: Eukaryota; Viridiplantae; Streptophyta; Magnoliopsida; Brassicales; Brassicaceae. The record is from RNAcentral.
UCAUCCAAAAAAUUUAAAAACGAUAAAAUUCUAUUAAUUUUUAUUUUUUGAAAACAAGAAGGAAAAUAAGAACAUGUGCAAGUGUUCCCUUGCAAGGCAAAACAUAUAGAUCCAAAAAAAAAAAAAAAGAGAAAUAACUAAAAAAUGUGGGAGUUUGUUGUCACUACUUGAGGUAUGUCCAUGUGAAAGCUCUUCUCUUAUCUUUCCACAACUUGUAUUAAUAUUUUUGUAGUUUAGCUUUGCCACUUAGUCAAACAACAUUACUAACACAUCACAUCAACGGUUUGGUCCUCGUUCCAAUUGUGUUUAUCCCCCC